UUGUUAGCUCAGUGGUAGAGCAUCUGACUUUUAAUCAGGUGGCCACAGGUUCGAGUCCUGUACA
This 64-nucleotide transfer RNA is filed under the name human gut metagenome. It matches the Rfam family "tRNA", at positions 5 to 66 of the family's 71-position model. Rfam says of the family: Transfer RNA (tRNA) molecules are approximately 80 nucleotides in length. Their secondary structure includes four short double-helical elements and three loops (D, anti-codon, and T loops). RNAcentral also lists the same sequence under 1 other name. The record is from RNAcentral.